GAAGUUAAACAUACGACAUGAACUGAAUUAACCAGCGCGCACGACUAGUAAAAAAACAAACAUCCUUUGAUAUCAAGUUUCUAAUUAAAUCAUGGCUGCGCCUGGGCAGCGUUAAUAUGAGAGUGAAAGUGGACGUGCUGCUACUCCCCUCAUUCCCAACAUAUAUCAAGUACCUGCAUUGAGUAAUGCAAGAGUGAGAUGACACAUCUCAGCAAGUAAAAUAAUAACAAACUGUUUAACCACAUAAGAACAUUGUUUUACCACCACUUGAUUUCACAACCUUCUUAUUACGAAGGUGCAGCACGAAUACAACGUACAACACACCUAGUUACCACACCUCGCAGGUAGAAACCACAAUAGUAACAUAGUAAUGUCACACUUCAUAUAUACCUCAUGAGUGCAAAUGUCUGCAAAUGCAAGGAUGACUUCUGCCUUCAUACCUCUAAGGAUAUGAAGCCGCAUCGUACCUCUCCUCGGGCAACGUACGAUGCUAAAAGUGUACCGGUACGGUCGGACCAUAAGAUCACGACAUAACUUCAAAAUGCAAGAUGGAUGAUGCGAUGUGCAUGACAUGCCUACAACACUUCAUACGACGUGAUUCAAAAAGAUACUUCAACUUCAUCCAAGAUGGGAAUCAACCACAUAUAUCAUUCCCAAAUCAUGAUCAUCCGCAAUAUUAGACAAUUGAGAAUUAAUACUUUCGAACAAUUAAACUUCAUCAUAGAAUUCAAUGAUUAACACAUUUAAUACUUAUGCAUACUCAAUGAUAAGGCAUAGGAUGCAAACCAAACGGUAGCAACCACCACUGUAUUUACUUGCCUUCACCGGCAAUUUGGAAUGGUACUAAGUACGAUCCGG
This 858-nucleotide long non-coding RNA is filed under the name Zea mays. RNAcentral describes it as "long non-coding RNA (ZMAY_LNC004961)". The record is from RNAcentral. Lineage: Eukaryota; Viridiplantae; Streptophyta; Magnoliopsida; Poales; Poaceae.